RNAcentral lists this long non-coding RNA (12578 nucleotides) under Nicotiana tabacum (common tobacco). RNAcentral's name for it is "long non-coding RNA (NTAB_LNC009363)". The record is from RNAcentral. Lineage: Eukaryota; Viridiplantae; Streptophyta; Magnoliopsida; Solanales; Solanaceae.
UUCUCCAUAUACACCAACUAACGAAGCCCACCAAAAUGAGUGACCCCUUCCAUCUCUAUUGUUGGUGAACUCACUGAAAACGAGUGAGCUGCGCCCCUAAAUUUCCAACGAACCCGACCUGGUAAAAGGACCCCUCAGCCGCACCCUAUCAGAAAAUAGAGAGAACGAUCCAGCCCCCCACCCUCAAGAACACCCAGAUACAAACACACACAUAUACGAAGGGGGGAAUGACCAGAUCUGAAUUCAAAAAUUAGAAGGUUGGAUUGAGUCGAGUUCGUCGAGGUUGUCGCUCGUAGUUCGAGUUUCCGUCGGCGUCUCUUGUGUAUUCUGUUCGGAAGAAAUUUGUAAUUGGAAAAGCUCAAUUACAGGUCUAAUUCUUACACUACCUUUUGAAUGUUUAUUGUAAUUCUUGUGGAUGUUGGGUGAAGAUGGAAUGCACUCCAAUUGUUUUCUAUGCUUGAUUAUUUGUUUGCAAUUUGAUUCCCCAUUUUAGCCUAUUUUUUGAUUCGUAAUCUUACAUCUAUUAACUGGUUCAAUCCAUUCAUCAAAAAAUGGUGCAUUACUUUCUUAGGCUGCUGCUGCUGAUUUUCUGUCUCUAAUUUCAUUCUUUUGGCAUCAUUAUAAUACUGAUGAUGAACUUUUGAUGAUUCAUUUAAGCUUUGAAGUUGUAAGUAAGAAGAAAUUGAGUGUCCUGUAUUCUGUGAUAGAGAGUAAGUCUUCUGUUUCAUUGGUAAAGCCAUUGUUAAUGGGUUUCAACUUGUUUGAUUAAGUCUGUUGUUUGUUAUUUUUUAAUGCCAAAAGGAUAUUUAUCUCCAUUAUGUUUGUAAGCAUCUGGCAUUUUAUUAAUUGAAUUGAAUGCAGCUUGACUACUGUGGUUUAUUCGUGCAAUCAAUUUCUAGUGUUAAUGUUGAAUUUGGUUUGCUCUGUUGUGGUUUUUAAGUUUUAGAUCUGUGACUAUUUAACUAAGAUGUUUACAUUGGCUAGUGUAAAAAGAAAUUCUUUGUUGAAGAAAUGCUUCCGAGCACUUUGCUGAAGAAUAGUGUAUUAAUUAAUUUAAUUGAAAUUGUUUUAACUGUUAUCCUUUUGACGGUUAUCUAUUGUGGCUGGAAUAAUUAUUUUAGGAAAUUAGUCAAAAAAAUGGAGUAGUACAAUCAGGAGCACUCUUUCUAGAGUUUUUUUUUGUCCAUAUGUGCAUAUAUAUUUUUAUUGGGCGAUUUUGUGGAAAACAAUUACUACGCGGUUUAAAUUUAUAUGACUUUAUUUGAUUGAGCGACUUUAUCUUUGCAAUAAUCUUGAAGUAGCUUAGAAAGGAAAAAUAUGAUAUACGUAGUUCUUUUAAUUGAAAGUAUUUCCUUUGAAAUAAAUUAAGGCGCGCCAUUCACACAAUUGAACCACCCAAUAUAUGGCCCUCAUAUUAAUUAUCUUAACUAGUAUAGAAAAUAGCUUAUGAAUAUUCUUAGUUUUCUUUAGGCAUGUUUAAUAUACUAUCAUGGUUGUGGACACAUUCGCGUGACAUGAUUACGAUUUCUAAAAACAAAACUGGAGUAUGCGUUCGCGCAACUUUGGCCAAACUUCCUUAUUAAUAAUAAAUCUUUAUUAAUUGUGGACACGUUCACGUGACAUGAUUUUUGACGCGCCAAACAAACGGGUACAUAUACGCGUGACCCGUUUCAAGAUAAUUUCUUAAUUAAAAGCGGCUAAUGCACAUAGGUUCUAAAUUGAGUAAUUAAACAAUUUGUUUAAGCCAAGUAUUAUCAAAGCAACCGUGCUAGAACCACGGAACUCGGAAGUUCCUAACACCUUCUGCCGGGUUAACAGAAUUUUUUACCCGAAUUUUUGUGUUCACAGACCGUAAAUAGAGUCAAACUUAACCGAUUGGGGAUUUUAAACAAGUGACUUGGGACACCAUAAAUUAUCCCAAGUGGCGACUGUAAUUUAAUAUAACUAAACCCAUUUCGAUUGGCACUUAAAUUGGAAAAAAACUCCCUUAUACCCUUCCGGGAAUAGUAAAAAGGAGGUGUGACAAGUACGGUUUCAGUUUGCAGUAGAGAUGCUUAAGUGCUAUUUGAUCCAGGGUCUACAUACUCCUAUGUGUCAUAUUAUUUUUCUACGUAUUUGGUUAUGCAUCGUAAUUCUUUGAGUGCUCAUGUAUAUGUGUCCACACCUGUGGGUGAUUCUAUUGUUGUAGAUCGUGUCUAUUGCGUGUGUGUGGUUAUUAUUGGGGGUCUUGAGGCCUGUGUAGAUCUCCUACUUCUGGAUAUGGUCGAUUUUGAUGUCAUCUUGGGAUAGAUUGGUUUUCACCUUAUCAUGCUAUAUUGCACUAUCACGCCAAGACCGUGAACUUAGCCUUACCAGGGUUGCCUCGAGUGGAGUGAAGGGGGACUCUUGGUCAUUUUACCAGUAGGGUCAUUUCUAAUAUAAAGGCUCGGUGUAUGGUCAAGAAGGGGUGUUUGGCUUAUUUGGCUUAUGUUCGUGAUUCUAGUGCAGAGGUUCCUUCUAUGGAGUCCAUACCAGUUGUUCGUGAAUUUCUAGAGGUAUUUCCUACAGAACUGUCAGGGAUGCCACCUGACAAGGAUAUUGACUUUUGCAUCGAUGUGGCUCUGGGCACUCAACCCAUUUCCAUUCGGCCAUACCACAUGGCCCCGCCAGAGUUGAAAGAAUUGAAGGAAUAGUUGCAAGAGUUUGCAAUACUUGUUCAAGCAGAAGGAGCUAAAUUUGAGGCAGCGGAGGUGGUUGUAGCUAUUGAAAGACUAUGAUAUCACCAUCUUGUAUCAUCCUGGGAAGGCCAAUGUAGUGGUCAAUGCUUUGAGUAGGAAGUCAGCCAGUAUGGGCAGCCUUGCAUAUAUUCCAGUCGGUGAGAGACCGCUUGCUUUGGAAGUUCAGGCUUUAGCCAAUCAAUUUAUGAGGUUGGAUAUUUAUGAUCCCGACCGUGUUCUAGCUUGCACAGUCGCUCGGUCUUUAUUAUUUGACAAAAUCAGAGAUCGGCAGUAUGAUGAUCCUCAUUUGCUUGCCCUUAGGGACACAGUGCAACACGAAGAUGCCAAGAAGGUUUCAGUUGGAGAUGAUAGAGUUUUGAGGAUGCAGGGUCGUGUUUACGUGCCUAAUGUGGAUGGACUUCGUGAGUUGAUUCAAGAGGAUGCCCAUAGUUCCCGAUAUUCUAUUCAUCCAGGCACUGCCAAGAUGUAUCAGAACUUGCAGCAAUAUUAUUGGUGGAUGAGAAUGAAGAAGGAUAUUGUUUCAUAUGUAGCACAGUGUUUGAAUUGUCAGCAGGUAAAGUACGAGCAUCAGAGACCUGGUGGUUUGCUUCAGAAAAUUGAGACUUGAGUGGAAAUGGGAGCGUAUCAUUGUGGACUUAGUCGUUGGACUCCCACGGACUCAGAGGAAAUUCAAUGCAGUAUGGGUUAUUGUGGAUAGGAUGACUAAGUUGGCGUACUUCAUUCUGGUGGUGGUUUCCUAUUCUUCGGAGCGGUGUAGAGAUAUAUAUCCGUGAGAUCAUUCGUCUUCUUGGUGUGCCCGUGUCUAUCAUUUCUAAUUGGGGUACGCAAUUUACCUCGCAUUUCUUGAGGGCAGUUCCACGUGAGUUGCGUACGCGGGUCAAGUUGAGCACACCAUUUCAUCCUCCGAUGGAUGGACAGUCCGAACGUACUAUUUAGAUUUUGGAGGACAUGCUUCGAGCCUGAGUUAUUGACUUUGGAGGUUAUUGGGAUCAGUUUUUACCGUUAGCGAAGUUUGCCUACAAUAACAGCUAUCAGUCGAGCAUCCAGAUGGCCCUUUAUGAGGCAUUAUAUGGGAGACAGUGUCGAUCUCCAGUUGGGUAAUUUGAGCUGGGGGAGGCUCGGUUGUUGGUUACAGAUAUGGUAUAGGAUUCCUUGGACAAGGUUAAGAUCAUUCAGGAUAGACUUCAUAUAGCCCAGUCCAUGUAAAAGAAUUAUACCGAUUGUAAGGUUCGUGAUGUGGCAUUCAUGGUCAGAGAGCGAGUAUUGCUUCGAGUGUCGCCCAUGAAGGGCGUGAUGAGAUUUGGGAAGAAGGGCAAGCGAAGCCCUAGGCUCAUCGGGCCUUAUGAGAUCCUUGAUCGAGUGAGAGAGGUGGCUUACAGACUUGCAUUGUCGUCGGGCUUAUCAGCGGUGCAUCCAGUGUUUCAUGUUUCCAUGCUUCGGAAGUAUUACGGCGAUCCAUCCCACGUGUUAGACUUUAGCACUGUCUAGUAGGACAAGGAUUUGACCUACGAGGAGGAGCCGGCAACUAUUCUAGACCGGCAGGUUUGACAGUUGAGAUUGAAGAUUUAUCUAUCAGUUCGUGUGUAAUGGAGAGGUCUGACCAUUGAAGCAGCUACCUAGGAGUCCGAGUUCGAUAUGUGGAGCCUAUAUCCCUAUCUUUUCACCAACUCAGGUACUUUUCUAUGUCCGUUCGUGGACGAACGGUUGUUUUAGAGGUGGAGAAUGUGAUGACCCAAAGGGUUAUGUUUUGUUUAUAAUCCAAAUCCGGGUUUUGAGGCCUUGAAAACCUUAUUUUACUUCUCCUCAUUUUGCGUGCAUUGUCUGAGCGCAUUUUCCGAAAAGCCGUUAUGUAAAAUCUAAGGAAAAUGUAGAAUUUUGCCUUUUAAAUUUAUUAAACUUGACUUUGGUCAACGUUUUUGCUAAAUGAACCCAGACGCGUGAUUUGACGGUCCCUUAGGGUCCAUAGUAAAAUAUGGGACUUGGGCGUAUGCUUGGAAUCGAAGUCCGAGGUCCCUAGCCCGAGAAAUGAAUUUUGGUUCUGAAGCCCGGUAUUGGUUUUUUAUAGUAUUUAAGUCGUAUCUGUGAAAUUUGGUGGAAAACCGGAAGAGAUUUGUUAUAAUUCGAAUCUUGGUUGAGAAAAUAGAAACUUUGAACUAUCUUGAGAAUUUCAUGAGUUUUGGUGCUAAAUUCGUUGUUUAAGAUGUUAUUUUGGCGAUUUGAUUGCACGAACAAGUUCGUAUGAUAUUUUUAGACCUGUGUGAAUAUUUGGUUUGGAGCCCCGAGGGCUCGGGUGAGUUUCGGAUAGGCUACGUGUGUUUUGGAACUUAGAAAAUAUUGCUGGUAUGCUUCAGCUGUUGCAGGCGUCUGAUCUCACAAUUGCUAGAUCAGGCUUUGCAAUUGCGAGCUUCACAGGCUUGGCAAUUGCGAGCCUUUCAUUGCAAAUGCGACCAAAAGGUUGGGCCAGUAUGUUCGCAUUUGCGAAAUCAACAGGGAGGGUAAACCUUCGCAAUUGCGACAGUAGGAGACAUGCGGCACGUUCACAUUUGCGAAGCCUAUCUCGCAUUUGCGAGCUUUGCAAUUGAGGUCGGAUUUCAAAACCAAUUGCAUAUUUGGGUUCGUGGGUGAAUGGGUAGUUUGGUUUUGGUUCGAACUUCGAGUUUUGACCAAGCGGUCCCAGGGUUAGUUUUUGACUUUUUGUGGAAAAUAUUGGAAAAUCUAUACUCAUGCAUUAAAAUUGGUUUAUUUAGCGUUAAUUGAUGUUAAUUAAUUAAUUCUGCAUAGAUUCAGGCGAUUUGGAAGUGAAAAUCAAAGGAAAAGCGGUAAUUGAGGCUUGAUUAUUGGCCAUGGAAUCAAGGUAAGUGUUUGGUCUAACCUUAGCUUGAGGAAAUAUGUGUUGUUGUCUUAUUUGCUAUGUGUUAGUAUUGAUUACGACGUAUAGGUGUUGUGGACAAGUAUCUAUAAGUUGGUGUCGAGCAUGCAAGUGAGUCUUAUACCAUGACUGUUGUGUCUCUUAUUACGUACUUUUCAUGCUUAAAUUGAUGAUUAUCCAUGUUGAACAAGUCUUAUGAUAUUUUCUUGGUAUUGGAUCAUUGAUGAGUAUUGACUCAAGUUGAGACUCACAUUGUAAAUUUAAUUGUUGAAACGAGAUUAGUUAUAGUUGAUUCCCUUGCCGGGAUGUUAUUAUCUCUAAUGUUUGGGUGAGGAAGAGUGUAAAGCACGAAGGAUGAUGUCGUGCAUGAUAUUGUGAGAGAGUGUAAUGCACGAAGUGUGAUUCUGUGACAUUUUCAGUGAGUGUUAAUGCACGAAGGGUGAUGCCAUACCUAUUUCUGUGAGUGUUAGUGCACAAAUGGUGAUGUCGUGCCAUGAUUAUGAGAGAGUUAAUGCACGAAGGGUGAUGUCGUCCCGUUUCUGUUGAUUUUAUGGCAAGGACUUCAGUAAAAGCACGAAGGGUGAUGUCGUGCACGUGUUACUGUGUUAUCAUUUCUGUUGGUUCAAGUUUGAUAUUUACCUUGCUUUAUUACUUUAUUACUGUCAUAAUCUGACAUUCUCCUCAGCAUGUUUCCCUUUCCCGUCUUUAUUUGUUAAAUUUCUGUUAUUAUUGUUUCUCGUAUAUGAUUUAACUAUACAGGUUAUAUUAUUGUCGUGUCCUAGCCUCGUCACUACUUCACCGAGGUUAGGCUUGACACAUACCAAUACAUGGGGUCGGUUGUACUGAUACUGCACUCUACACUUUUUGUGUAGAUUUCGUUGCUAGACCUCGUGAGUAGUGUUGAGGUUGCUGCCUUCGGUCCAUGGGAGACCCAAGGUAGAUCUGCCGGUGUCCGCAGAUCCUAGAGUCCCCCUUCCUCCGAUUUUUGAUUAUCUGUCUCUUUCUAUUUCGAGAACAAUUGUAAUUCUUUAAACCAGUAUUUGUAGAGCUUCUUAGACGUUUGUGAAUUGUGACACCAGAUCAUUGGGGUAGAAAUGUAUUGGAGUAUUUUGAAUUGUUAUAGCACUUCCGCACUUUAUAUAUGUUUAGCUUUUGUUAUUAUUUAUUUCUGUUUGGGUUAAUUGUUAAUGUGUUAAAACCGUAAUUAUUGGCUUGCCUAGCAUUCAAGAGUUAAGCAUCAUCACUAUCCCGACGGUGGGAAAUCCGGGUCGUGACAAGUUGGCAUCAGAGCACUAGGUUGUCUAGGUGUCAAAAUUCACUAACAAGCUAGGUAGAGUAUGAGGGAUCAGUACGGAGACAUUUGUGCUUAUCACCCAAAGGCUACAGAGUUUAGGAAUAACUUCACAUCUAUUUUUCUCUGUCGUGCGAUUUGACUUCUCAAUGCUAAUUGAACUUCUACUCUGUUCUUUCGCAGAUGGCGAGAACACGUACCGCUUAUCAGCAGCCCGAGCCCCUAGUGGCAGCUCCUACGAGGGGUAGAGGAUGAGGCCGAGGCUGUGCUAGGGGUCGAGGCAUGGGUAGGGCUCAGCCUAGAGCUCGAGUAGCAGCACUAGAACCGGAUCCACACGUAGAGUUUGAGGAUGAGGUUCUGGCCCAGACCGUUCCUGCAGGGCCAGCUCAGGUUCCAGAGGGGUUUAUCGCUACCCUGGUACUUCCGGAUGCUUUGGUUCGUCUAGUGGGUCUUUUGGAGAGCGUAGCUCAGACUUGCACCUUCCUUGUAGCACUAGUCGUCUCUCAGCUGGGGAAGGAUCUCAGACUCCCACUACCCACCCUUUGGAGCGGAUGGCACCUCAGUUCCAGACUCCAACAGCUCAGCCAGUAAGAGCAGCAUAGCAAGUUGUUGCAGCUCAGGCCGUUGGUGGCUCCUCUAUGUCUUCUGAGGGUUUGUUGAGGUUGGAUAAGUUCAACAAGCUUUUCCCGGUUCAUUUCAAUGGGGCAGCUUCUGAGGACCUCCAGGAUUAUCUUGACCUUCUUCCAUGAGAUGUUGCGGAACAUGGGGACAGUAGAGGCCAAUGGGGUCGACUUCGAUGUAUUGCAGAUGAUAGGGUCUGCCAAGAGAUGGUGGAAUGAUUUUGUGUUGACUAGACCAGCUGGAUCACCUACCUUGACUUGAGACCAGUUGUCUGAGCUAUUUUUGGAGAAGCUCCUUCCUGUCACUCGGAGAGAGAACUACCACAGGCGGUUCGAGCAUCUUCAAUAGGAUUCUAUAACUGUAACUCAGUUCGAGACUAGGUUUGUUGAUUUGGCUCGCCAUGCUCUUCUUAUACUCCCUACCGAGAGAGAGAGAGAGAGAGAGAGAGAGAGAGAGAGAGAGAGAGUAGUAGUANNNNNNNNNNNNNNNNNNNNNNNNNNNNNNNNNNNNNNNNNNNNNNNNNNNNNNNNNNNNNNNNNNNNNNNNNNNNNNNNNNNNNNNNNNNNNNNNNNNNNNNNNNNNNNNNNNNNNNNNNNNNNNNNNNNNNNNNNNNNNNNNNNNNNNNNNNNNNNNNNNNNNNNNNNNNNNNNNNNNNNNNNNNNNNNNNNNNNNNNNNNNNNNNNNNNNNNNNNNNNNNNNNNNNNNNNNNNNNNNNNNNNNNNNNNNNNNNNNNNNNNNNNNNNNNNNNNNNNNNNNNNNNNNNNNNNNNNNNNNNNNNNNNNNNNNNNNNNNNNNNNNNNNNNNNNNNNNNNNNNNNNNNNNNNNNNNNNNNNNNNNNNNNNNNNNNNNNNNNNNNNNNNNNNNNNNNNNNNNNNNNNNNNNNNNNNNNNNNNNNNNNNNNNNNNNNNNNNNNNNNNNNNNNNNNNNNNNNNNNNNNNNNNNNNNNNNNNNNNNNNNNNNNNNNNNNNNNNNNNNNNNNNNNNNNNNNNNNNNNNNNNNNNNNNAGAGAGAGAGAGAGUUAGAAGGUUCAUUGAGGGACUCGCUCAGCCUAUUAGAUUGCAUAUGGCUAAGGAGACGGGUAGCGAGAUUUCUUUUCAGGAUGCGGCCAAUGUGGCCCAGCGAGUUGAGGUAGUUCUAGCUUAGGGGAGUGGUCAGGGGUUUGGCAAGAGGCCUUCUUAUUCUGGUAGGUUCAGUGAUGCCUCGUCUGGAUGCAGGGAUUCUUUUAGCAGGGGCCAUUCUCCCAAGCCAUUUCAUGCAGCACUUCAGGCUUCUCUUCGUGCUCAGGUGGCCGUGGUUCUCAAAUGUAAUAUUUUGAUCAGCUACCCUACAGUGCACCACCAGCUCCUAUCAGUGCACUCCCACUCCAGAGUUUUCAGCGUGGUUACUCAGGUCGUCAGGGUCAGUUUCAGGGUCAGCAGUCCCAAUCGUCGAGGACUUGUUAUACUUGUGGCGACCCAAGGCACAUUGCUAGAUUAUGCCCUCGAGCCUCGAGCAGUUCUCAGCAUUAGGGUUCUCGUGCCAUAUUUCAGGCAGCGGGUGUCCCACCGCCUGCUCAGCCAGCUAGAGGUUGAGGUCAGGUAGCUAGAGGUGGAGGUCAAAGUACUAGAGGUGGAGGCCAAGACGCUAGAGGUGGAGGCCAGCAAACAGGAGGUCGUCCCAGGAAUGUUAUUCAGAGUGGUAGGGCCUAGCCCCGAUGUUAUGCUUUCCCAGCCAGACCUGAGGCUGAGGCAUCUGAUGCUGUUAUCACAAGUACAGUUUCAGUUUGCAGUAGAGACGCUUAAGUUCUAUUUGAUCCAUGGUCUACAUACUCCUAUGUGUCAUCUUAUUUUGCUAUAUAUUUGGUUAUGCCUCGUGAUUCUUUGAGUGCACCUGUAUAUGUGUCCACACCUGUAGGUGAUUCUAUUGUUGUGGAUCAUGUCUAUCACGUGUGUGUGGUUAUUAUUGGGGGUCUUGAGGCCCGUGUAGAUCUCCUACUUCUGGAUAUGGUCGAUUUUGAUGCAUCUUAGGGAUAGAUUGGCUGUCCCCUUAUCACGCCAUAUUGGACUGUCAUGCCAAGACUGUGACCUUAGCCUUACCGGGGUUGCCUCGAUUGGAGUGGAGGGGGACUCCUGGUCAUUGUACCAGUAGGGUCAUUUCUAAUAUGAAGGCUCGGCAUUUGGUCGAGAAUGGGUGUUUGGCUUAUUUGGCUUAUGUUCGCGAUUCCAGUGUAGAGGUUCCUUCCAUGGAGUCCGUACCAGUUGUUCGUGAGUUUCCAGAGAUUAUUCCUAUAGAACUGUCAUAGAUGCCACUUCACAAGGAUAUUGACUCUUGCAUCAAAGUGGUUCUAGGCUCUCAACCCAUUUACAUUCGGCCAUACCACAUGGUCCUGCCAGCGUUGAAAGAAUUGAAUGAGCAGUUACAAGAGUUUGCAAUACUUGUUCAAGUUAAAGGAGCUAAAUUUGAGGCAAAGGGGGUGGUUGGAGUUAUUGAAAGACUAUGAUAUCACCAUCUUGUAUCAUCCUGGGAAGGCCAAUGUAAAGGUCGAUGCUAUGAGUAGGAAGUCAGCCUGUAUGGGCAGCCUUAGGGACAUAGUGCAGCACGGAGAUGCCAAGUAGGUUUCAGUUGGAGAUGAUGGAGUUUUGAGGAUGCAGUGUCGUGUUUCCGUGCCUAAUGUGGAUGGACUUCGUGAGUUGAUUCUAGAAGACGCCUAUAGUUCGCGGUAUUCUAUUCAUCCGAGAACCGCCAAGAUGUAUCAGGACUUGCGGCAAUAUUAUUGGUGGAGGAGAAUAUAGAAGGAUAUUGUUGCAUAUGUAGCACGAUGUUUAAAUUGUCAGCAUGUAAAGUACGAGCAUCAGAGACCUGAUGGUUGCCUUAGAAGAUUGACAACUGAGUGGAAGUGGGAGCGUAUCAGUAUGGACUUCUUCGUUGGACUCCCACGGACUCAGAGGAAAUUCAAUGCAGUAUGGGUUAAUGUGGAUAGGCUGACUAAGUCGGGGCACUUCAUUCCGAUGGCGAUUUACUAUUCUUUGGAACGGUUGGCAGAGAUUUAUAUCUGUGAGAUCGUUCAUGUUCAUGGUGUUCCAGUGUCUAUCAUUUCAGAUCGGGGUACGCAAUUUACCUUGCAUUUGUGGAGGGCAGUUCAGCGUGAGUUGGGGACACGGGUCGAGUUGAGCAAAACAUUUAAUCCUCAGACGGACGGACAGUCGGAACAUACUAUUCAGAUCUUGGAGGACAUGCUUUGAGCCUGUGUUAUUGACUUUGGAGGUUCUUGGGAUCAGUUUUUACCGUUAACGGAGUUUGCGUACAACAACAGUUAUCAGUCGAGCAUCCAGAUGGCCCCUUAUGAGGCAUUAUAUGGGAGACGGUGUCAAUCACCAGUUGGGUGGUUUGAGUCGGGGGAGGCUCGGUUGUUGGGUACUUAUUUGGUAUAGGAUGCCUUGGACAAGAUUAAGAUCAUUCCGGAUAGACUUCGUAUAGCCCAGUCCCAGCCAAAGAGUUAUACCGACCUUAAGGUUCGUGAUGUGGCAUUCCUGGUCGGAGAGCGAGAGUUGUUUCGAAUGUCGCCCAUGAAGGGCGUGAUGAGAUUAGGGAAGAAGGGCAAGCUAAGCCCUAGGUUCAUCGGGCGUUUUGAGAUCCUUGAUCGAGUGAGAGAGGUGGCUUACAGACUUGUAUUGUCGUCGGGCUUAUCAGCGGUGCAUUCAAUGUUUCAUGUGUCCAUGCUUCGGAAGUAUUACGGUGAUCCAUCCCACGUGUUAGACUUUAACACUGUCCAGUAGGACAAGGAUUUGACCUACGAGGAGGACCCGAUGGCUAUUCUAGAUCGGCAGGUUCGACAGUUGAUAUCGAAGAGUUAUCCGUCAGUUCGUGUGCUGAAAAUUUCGCUUGUUGAGGCAGCUACCUGAGAGUCCGAGUCCAAUAUGUGGAGCCUAUAUCCCUUUCUUUUCAUCAACUCAGGUACUUUUCUAUGCGUUCGAGGACGAACGGUUGUUUUAGAGGUGGAGAAUGUGAUGACACAAAGGGUUAUGCUUUGUUAAAAAUCCGAAUCCGGGUUCCAAGGCCUUGAAAACCUAUUUUACUUCUCCUCGAUUUGCAUACGUAGUCCAAGUGCAUUUUCCGAAAAGCCAUUAUGUGAAAUCUAAGGAAAAUGUCGAAUUUUGCCUUUUAAAUUUAUUAAAGUUGACUUUGGUUAAUGUUCUUGGUAAACGAACCCGGACGUACGAUUUGACGAUCCCGUAGGGUCCGUAGUAAAAUAUGGGACUUGGGCGUAUGCUCGGAAUCGAAGUCCGAGGUCCCUAGCCCGAGAAAUGAAUUUUGGUUUCGGAUCCCGGUAUAGGUUUGAUAUAGUAUUUAAGUCGUAUCUGUGAAAUUUGGUGGAAAACCGGAAGAGAUUUGUUAUAAUUCGAACCCUUGGUUGAGAAAAUAGAAACUUUGAACUAUCUUGAGAAUUUCAUGAGUUUUGGUGCUAAAUUCGUUGUUUAAGAUGUUAUUUUGGUGAUUUGAUUGCACGAGCAAGCCUGUAUGAUGUUUUUAGACUUGUAUGCAUAUUGGGUUUGUAUCCCCGAGGGCUCGGGUGAGUUUCGGAUAGGCUACGGGGUGUUUUGGAACUUAGAAAAUAUUGUUGGUAUGCUUCAGGUGUAGUAAUUCUUUAAACCAGUAUUUGUAGAGCUUCUUAGAUGUUUGUGAAUUUUGACACCAAAUCAUUGGGGUAGACAUGUGUUGGAUUAUUUUGAACUAUUAUAACACUUCUGCACUUUAUAUUUGUUUAGCUUUAGUUAUUAUUUAUUUCUGUUUGGGUUAAUUGUUAAUGUGUUAAAACUGUAAUUGUUGGCUUGCCUAGCAUUCAAGAGUUCGACGCCAUCAUGAUCCCGACGGUGGGAAAUUCAGGUCGUUACAAGUCGGUAUCAGAGCACUAGGUUGCCUAGGUCUCACAAUGUACAAAUAAGCUAGGUAGAGUCUGAGGUAUCGGUAUGGAGAUGUCUGUGCUUAUCUCCCAGAGGCUACAGAGUUUAGGAAUAACUUCAAUUUUAUUCUUCUAUGGCGAUUGGACUUCUUAAUGCUAAUUGAACUUCUACUCUUUUCUUUCACAGAUGGUGAGAACACG